Gossypium arboreum is the source of this 545-nucleotide long non-coding RNA. RefSeq lists it as uncharacterized. Lineage: Eukaryota; Viridiplantae; Streptophyta; Magnoliopsida; Malvales; Malvaceae. The record is from RefSeq and is a predicted model, not a curated record. The transcript has 2 exons.
UUUUCAUUUGAAAUUAGACUUGUUUUAAAACCUUUUUUAUUUUUGCUUUUUAAAAAAACAUUUUAACUUUUAUUCCCUUUUUUAAAGAACCCUAAAUGCUUUGGAGUAUGUCUAACUCCUUCACUUUCCUCUCUGCUUUCCAGCCAAACAACUAGUACCCAAGCCUCAACAGUCCCAAAAUCCGACGACGAACGGAGAGCCCUCCCCACGGCAUUAGCACGACGUUGCAGGUAUGGUGAACGUGGGGCGUGGGUCGUGCUACACGUGAGAUGGCCGGACGUGCGAGGUGCGUCGACGUGCGUGGUGGAGGGGAGCAGCAGCUAUUCUCUUUUUUGCUGAAAAGUUAGUUUAGUUUCGGGCUGUUUGGGCUCUGGGGUUAGGUUUAUUUUAGGCUUAUAAUUGGGUUUGUUGUUUUUGUAAUUUUGGACUCUUUUUGGAUUUUUUUGGGUUUUAUUUAUUGGGCUGGAAAUAAGUAGCCCGGGCUAAAGUUGGGUCUUACAUGUAUUAUAAUCCACUUUAUCAAGAAAUCCAUUUUCCCAUGACAA